GACUCCCGAUCAACCACCUAACAUUGACCUAUGGAAGAAAAUUGGUGAUGUAAAUGCUCUUCCUCUACCAAUGGCUUGCUCACUUACUCAUCUUUCAAAUGGUCAAAAAUAUCAUUUUAUAGUAAGAGCUGUUGAUGUUUACACUCGUGUUGGGCCAUUUAGCACACCGGAAAGCAUAAUAUUAUAAAUGAAUUCACAUGUUUGACAUUAAGAAGCUAAUCUCCUACCAUAAUGUUUUUUACUUCAUGAGGUUAUUAGAUAUUUGGCUUAUUUCCAUGCUAAAUAACUUAAUAAUUGUUUAAGCUUUACAAAUGAUUAUUAUUUUUUUAUUUUUGUAAUCCACUCAUAGUGUGUUAAUUUUUCUUUAAAACUAUUAUUUUUUGGAAAUAAGUUUAAAAAAAUAUAAUAGGACAUCCACUAUUAUAAUUGAUUUAUUUAAAAUUUUAUUUUAAGAUACACAGUCAAUACAAAUUGUAGUGAUAUGUUUUGAUAUGUAACUAUUAUUAAUUUAAUUUAAGCCAAUUUAAAUGGCUGCAACGUUCAACAUGAACACACGCACG
Molecule: long non-coding RNA, 560 nt
Organism: Acyrthosiphon pisum (pea aphid)
Lineage: Eukaryota; Metazoa; Arthropoda; Insecta; Hemiptera; Aphididae
Exons: 3
Source: RefSeq, a predicted model, not a curated record